RNAcentral lists this long non-coding RNA (1096 nucleotides) under Buteo japonicus. Its description in RNAcentral is "lncRNA (ENSBJAG00000013391.1)". Lineage: Eukaryota; Metazoa; Chordata; Aves; Accipitriformes; Accipitridae. The record is from RNAcentral.
UAAGCACUGUUCAGCAAUCACUAAAACAUUGUGUUAUCAACACUGUUUUAAUUACAAACCCAAAACAUAGCCCCAUACAAGCUACUAUGAAGAAAUUUAACUCUACCCCAGUCAAAACCAGUACAGUAGUAAAGGCACAAACAAAAGAGGUGGAAACUUUUGUCUGGUCAGAGACUGACAUAUAUGAGCUCAGUUUUUAUGCAAGAUGAAAUACAUGUUGUAGAAAAAAACCUGAGCCUCCUAGGAGGGCACGGGCCACAAGAUAAUCCCGUACGGCUUCAGUCUGUGGUUGACAACCCAUCCACUUGCUGAGUCAAAAAAGAGAAAGGGUGAUACAGCUUUUCUCUGUAUAUAUUAUGUCAUUUAUAUCAGCUUCCUAUUGCUCUGAGAGCAAAGAAAUCUGCCUUUUGUCAGACAAGCAGCAGAUAAAACAUGUGCAGAAUAUCUGCUGAGUAGGAAUCAAGAAGAUUUUUUAAGCAGAAUGCCACAUUAAGCUACCAUUAAAUAGCAACAGAGCCCAAACGCCGAAACAGAAGCCAUCGAUUUAUGAUUUACCCUCACACACAGCUUUGCAGUCUCAUGCUAUUUCUCUUUCAGUACUUAUUUUUCACCCUCCCCCUCUGGAGUACACCGUUGACAUUGAAGUAAGCCUUAUGGAUUCAUCUUUUCUGGAACCAGUCAAAGAGUAUUUCAAAAAACUUAGUCUUCCAGUUUCAACAAAUAUUUCAAAUGUAGAAAUGACAGUUUCAGAGAUCAACAUUACAACAGUCUGUCUGCCCAGCGAUGAGAACAAGAGCUGUUGUUCUUGUGAAAAUGGAUAUGCCUGGCCAAGUACACUGUGCAGUGACUUGAUAACCUGCCCUUCUGUCAGCCUAGCACCCAACCUGCCCUGCAGCUACGUGAUGGAAAAGCAUUCUCUCAGGCCUUACUGUGAGCCUCAGACUGAAGGUAAGGAGAAACAGUGCUGAACUUCUUUGUUGUACAACUCAUAUACUGGUUAGAAAGUGGAAUAGUGUUAAAGGUGUAAUAAAGCAGCACGUCAGCAUGCCUCUGGGAUUUUCAGCUUCCACUAAACAAAGAAAAUUUCAUCUCAUCA